UACGUAGGGUGCAAGCGUUGUCCGGAAUUAUUGGGCGUAAAGAGCUCGUAGGUGGCCUGUCGCGUCGGCUGUGAAAACUCGGGGCUUAACCCCGGGCCUGCAGUGGGUACGGGCAGACUAGAGUGCGGUAGGGGGGACUGGAAUUCCUGGUGUAGCGGUGAAAUGCGCAGAUAUCAGGAGGAACACCGGUGGCGAAGGCGGGUCUCUGGGCCGUAACUGACGCUGAGGAGCGAAAGCGUGGGGAGCGAACAGG
This 253-nucleotide ribosomal RNA is filed under the name uncultured bacterium. Its description in RNAcentral is "partial 16S ribosomal RNA". It matches the Rfam family "Bacterial small subunit ribosomal RNA", at positions 524 to 776 of the family's 1533-position model. The record is from RNAcentral.